RNAcentral lists this ribosomal RNA (433 nucleotides) under uncultured bacterium. Its description in RNAcentral is "partial 16S ribosomal RNA". It matches the Rfam family "Bacterial small subunit ribosomal RNA", at positions 29 to 507 of the family's 1533-position model. The record is from RNAcentral.
AACGAACGCUGGCGGCAUGCCUAACACAUGCAAGUCGAACGAGACCUUCGGGUCUAGUGGCGCACGGGUGCGUAACGCGUGGGAACCUGCCCUUAGGUUCGGAAUAACUCCCCGAAAGGGGUGCUAAUACCGGAUAAUGUCUUCAGACCAAAGAUUUAUCGCCUUUGGAUGGGCCCGCGUUGGAUUAGCUAGUUGGUAGGGUAAAAGCCUACCAAGGCGACGAUCCAUAGCUGGUCUGAGAGGAUGAUCAGCCACACUGGGACUGAGACACGGCCCAGACUCCUACGGGAAGCAGCAGUGGGGAAUAUUGGACAAUGGGCGAAAGCCUGAUCCAGCAAUGCCGCGUGAGUGAUGAAGGCCUUAGGGUUGUAAAGCUCUUUUACCCGGGAUGAUAAUGACAGUACCGGGAGAAUAAGCUCCGGCUAACUCCGUG